RNAcentral lists this ribosomal RNA (450 nucleotides) under uncultured prokaryote. RNAcentral's name for it is "bacterial SSU rRNA". It matches the Rfam family "Bacterial small subunit ribosomal RNA", at positions 355 to 796 of the family's 1533-position model. The record is from RNAcentral.
UGAGGAAUAUUGCGCAAUGGGGGAAACCCUGACGCAGCGACGCCGCGUGGAUGAUGAAGGCCUUCGGGUCGUAAAAUCCUGUCAGGUGGGAAGAAAUGUCAUAUCUCUAAUAUAGUUAUGAUUUGACGGUACCACCAAAGGAAGCACCGGCUAACUCCGUGCCAGCAGCCGCGGUAAUACGGAGGGUGCAAGCGUUGUUCGGAAUUACUGGGCGUAAAGCGCGCGUAGGCGGCUUUUUAAGUCAGAUGUGAAAGUCCACGGCUCAACCGUGGAAGUGCAUUUGAAACUGGAAAGCUUGAGUAUUGGAGGGGGUAGUGGAAUUCCCGGUGUAGAGGUGAAAUUCGUAGAUAUCGGGAGGAAUACCGGUGGCGAAGGCGACUAUCUGGCCAAAUACUGACGCUGAGGUGCGAAAGCGUGGGGAGCAAACAGGAUUAGAUACCCCCGUAGUCC